Molecule: transfer RNA, 77 nt
Filed under: Pseudomonadota bacterium
Lineage: Bacteria; Pseudomonadati; Pseudomonadota
Description: tRNA-Arg
Rfam family: tRNA
About the family: Transfer RNA (tRNA) molecules are approximately 80 nucleotides in length. Their secondary structure includes four short double-helical elements and three loops (D, anti-codon, and T loops). Further hydrogen bonds mediate the characteristic L-shaped molecular structure. tRNAs have two regions of fundamental functional importance: the anti-codon, which is responsible for specific mRNA codon recognition, and the 3' end, to which the tRNAs corresponding amino acid is attached (by aminoacyl-tRNA synthetases). tRNAs cope with the degeneracy of the genetic code in two manners: having more than one tRNA (with a specific anti-codon) for a particular amino acid; and 'wobble' base-pairing, i.e. permitting non-standard base-pairing at the 3rd anti-codon position.
Source: RNAcentral
GCACCCUUAGCUCAAUUGGAUAGAGCAUCUGACUACGGAUCAGAAGGUUGGGAGUUCGAGCCUCUCAGGGUGCACCA